AUGUAUUUACACACACACGCUGNAACAAAGUCUCAUGNAAUGNAUACCGCGCUUAACGCAAUACAAUACAACUUUCAGCAACGGAUCUCUUGGCUCUCGCAUCGAUGAANAACGCA
Molecule: unclassified non-coding RNA, 116 nt
Filed under: uncultured fungus
Lineage: Eukaryota; Fungi
Description: sequence contains ITS1, 5.8S rRNA gene
Rfam family: 5.8S ribosomal RNA (bases 70-116)
Source: RNAcentral